Molecule: long non-coding RNA, 539 nt
Filed under: Strongylocentrotus purpuratus (purple sea urchin)
Lineage: Eukaryota; Metazoa; Echinodermata; Echinoidea; Camarodonta; Strongylocentrotidae
Description: uncharacterized LOC115924086
Source: RNAcentral
AGCGAAAUUUAUUUUGUGGUUUUUUCAGCAAGUCGAAAAUCUUAGAAGAGAUUUUUAGAGUUCAGAUUCUUUGUUUCAUAAGAUAAGAAAAAAGGUUCAUUUUGUUAAUUAUAAUAUCAGGAAAGAUAGAUAUUUAUUCUCUUUCAGCCUAAAUGAAGCAUUUAGGUAUUUUAUAGAAGGUGAAUUGGCAAUUUAAAUAUUUACAAUGCCUGUUGUAUUUAUGAUCGAUGUUUUUUAUAGUAGGAUUUGAAAUGGCCUUUUCUUUGAGUAUUUGUUUUUGAAGGACACCUUACUUUCGACUUCGAUAAGUAGCGAAGCCAUUUUAGUCACUUGUUCGUGUAGUCUGUCGAGCGUCAAGUCACUGGAGAUGAGCUCUCCAGUUUUCCCAGUUUUCCCGGUUUUGUCCUGUUUGACAGUGACAUCAGUGAGCCCAGUGUUUCGGCAGUAAAUUGCUUAGUUCCGGCCAAAGAAAUUGAAUUUGAUUCUGUGUUGUCUUCGACUCUUCGUUUGAGGAAGCUAAUAAAGACGUCAUAAUCCCA